This 253-nucleotide ribosomal RNA is filed under the name uncultured bacterium. RNAcentral describes it as "partial 16S ribosomal RNA". It matches the Rfam family "Bacterial small subunit ribosomal RNA", at positions 524 to 776 of the family's 1533-position model. The record is from RNAcentral.
UACAGAGGGGGCAAGCGUUGUUCGGAAUUACUGGGCGUAAAGGGCGCGUAGGCGGCCUUCUAAGUCGAACGUGAAAUCCAUGGGCUCAACCCAGGAACUGCGUCCGAUACUGGGAGGCUUGAAUCCGGGAGAGGGAUGCGGAAUUCCAGGUGUAGCGGUGAAAUGCGUAGAUAUCUGGAGGAACACCGGUGGCGAAGGCGGCAUCCUGGACCGGCAUUGACGCUGAGGCGCGAAAGCCAGGGGAGCAAACGGG